Molecule: long non-coding RNA, 568 nt
Organism: Panthera uncia (snow leopard)
Lineage: Eukaryota; Metazoa; Chordata; Mammalia; Carnivora; Felidae
Exons: 5
Source: RefSeq, a predicted model, not a curated record
GACCGUUGCUGAGCACGCGCCCUGCUGCCCACGCGUCCUGUGAGCAGAGCUGAGGAAGAAGCGGUGGUGUGGGCGGUGUCGUGGUCUUUCUGGCUGCCUGCCCUCAACCGGGUGAAGUAUGAGUGGAUGUGUAAGAUCAAGAUCUAAGUCUAAACAAAGAAAAGGUGAUCGAGAGUCUAACUAGCCAGCUGCACCUGUGGCUGGCCAGCAGCCCAGUGAUAAGCAACCUCGACAAAAGGAGACACCCAACUGGAAGUCAGAAUAUUAUACCUGAUCAAAAGAAAGAAGUUAAAGAAGCACCUGUGGAUCAAGAGAAGGAGCAAGCAAGGUGGGGCAAAGAGAGGGUGAAGAGGAUCCGAAGCCAGCUCCUCACUGACAGCAGAGAGCCAGAUGUGGGACUCUCAAACUCAAGAACCAUGAGAUCAUGACCUGAGCUGAAGUCAGACGCUUAACCUAGUUACCCAGGUGAAGGGCAAUCCAGUUUUAAACAAAGACAAGCUGAAACUCUGCAAAAUGUUCUUAUGUUAGCUACUUGACUAUUAAGAUUCUCUUAAUAAAGUUUUAAAAU